UAUGCUUCUCGAACCACUGUGCUCCCCGAAGUUGUGUGUUACAGAAACGUUACGUUUCGGUUGUGUUACAGAAGAAGGACGUUGCGGCAACGUUACCCUUGCUCCUCCUCGGCGGCAGGACCCUGUUGCGCGAUGCAGAACACGUCCGUGGUCGACAUGGUGGCCCGCCAGUCAGCACUGUGCGCACACGAUCACAUAUCGACGUCCUCGUCGGCGACGUUCCUCCAGGUACGAGAAUUCUUCGUUGUCGACGCGGAUUCGGUAGGUCCACGUGCGAACGCCAGCGGAAUUUCGUGCACUAGUCACAUACGUGGCUGCGUCGGCUGGCGCCCGUCAAGGCUACCGCCGACUGAUGUAUGCAGGAUCAGGCAGACCGGUAGCGCAACAGGUUGUCCGUCCACGGAUUUUCCACGAGUCGAACGGAAAACGGCGAAGAGCGACGCACGGCUGCGACCGACUCACUGCGGUCUCGUGUGGUAUCACGCCGCACCUUCGCCGCCGUUCCCUCUACCUGUGCACGCACACCGUUUUCCAUUUACCUGUCUUCAGUCGCGUGCGUGUACAGGCAAAUCUCUUUGUGUGCGUACACCGGUCGUCGACGAGACGCGCGUUCCUUCUACCUGGCCCCCUUACGCACGCCGCCAACUUCUGUGCAGAUAUCGAGGAUCAUAUAGCGUGCCGGCAUUUCACGGGUGUGCGUUAUUUCUGUUUCUGCGACCGUACGCACGCACCGCGCUUAUGCCCCCCAAUGAUUUGUUCCCAGCUAUUAUUGUUACGUUACGUUCUACGUUAAUGGCAAAACCAUCAAGGAGAAUGAGUGUGUACGAGACGAUCGUCUUGCGGAGGUAUUUUGUUGUUCCCUUGUUCGGUGAAUCUUGGAGCUUGAUGUUUGGCCCGUGAAUAGUGGAUGUUUCGCUACUGCAGAGUCCGCAGUGACUCCACAUCCGUUUGUGUUUAUAAUGAAUAGUUACAAAAGUAUUGGUAUCCGCGAGAUCCAUGACGUGUUCACGAGACAAUUUCAGCGUAUUGUUUAUCGAAAAAGACGCCAUACUCGUAAUAGCUGUCUGCUCCAGUCUUACGUUGCAAGUCUGUGGUAAUAUCAGUAAGGUGGAGAGCUUCAAUGACGUUCAAUGUACGUCAGAUAUCUUUUAUUGUGCUUUCGAAGCUCCGGGUUGUAGCUGGUUUCUUUGUAUUGUAAUUCUUGUUUAUCAAAAACUGUCUCAGAAUGCUCUCAUCAUCAAAAACUCGGAAUGCUGUCUGGCGAGUUGUGUCAUAAAAUGAAAGGUUUCGCUGCAACUGUACUUCUGCAUAAUUAGUCUAUUUAAAUAUAUUAAUCAUAUCGUUGUAUGGUGUAGUGUUUCGCUUUCAGGGCUACUACUUAUGACCAAUUAAGCUAUCCGGGUCGCCGACGAUUUUCUCUCUCUAAAUCCGUAGAACCUAAACGUAAACACACCAUAUACCUAAAAGUCGGCUCGAUGUAUCGCAUACGUCGACUUAUUCAAAAUAAUUAUCGAGAAUAUGUUAACGAGAAACGAUUUUAACGAUUUUCAUUUACUGAAAUUUUUCCCUAAUAAACCCUAACGUCAAUGGACUCCAAUUUGAAUGGAUCACCAAGAAUAUAUGAUGCGUUUGUAACGUUAGGCGGCAAAUCUAUGCUCUAGCUAGAGCCCUGCUACUCACGAUCGAAGUUCAGAUUGGACUGUUCAGUAUAAUAUAGAACUGUCUCAACAGGUUCUUCGCAGUUCUGUAUGGUUCAAUGCGUAACGUUAACGCGCAGCAAGACCGUGUUGCACGACACACGACACGUGGCUCUCGCGUACUCUCGUUAACUCAGGUAGAUACAGUGCACCUUUUAUUUGCAUAUCGUCCUGUACACCGAGGACUUUUACGAAGAUAAAACACUGACUUUUUUCUUAAAUCAAUCUCUCGCGUGUGUACUUUACUAUCUCUUUAAGAUGAUUUAAAUAAAAUAUAAGAGUUAUUAUGAUUUUGUGUAAUAAAACUUCCCAUGUUAAA
Megalopta genalis is the source of this 2016-nucleotide long non-coding RNA. RefSeq lists it as uncharacterized. The record is from RefSeq and is a predicted model, not a curated record. NCBI's taxonomy places the organism in Eukaryota, Metazoa, Arthropoda, Insecta, Hymenoptera, Halictidae.